RNAcentral lists this long non-coding RNA (243 nucleotides) under Elaeis guineensis (African oil palm). RNAcentral's name for it is "long non-coding RNA (EGUI_LNC043160)". The record is from RNAcentral. Lineage: Eukaryota; Viridiplantae; Streptophyta; Magnoliopsida; Arecales; Arecaceae.
CCGAUGGAUAUGAUCUUACUUUGGCUGCUGAAAAUCAGAUCAAAUUUCAUCUUAAUCAGGUAAAUCUCUUCCAUCACAUGCCCUCAAUCUGUCAUAGGUUUUAAUCUUAAAUUUUUGCUGAAUUUUUCAAUCCAAAAUCCCUUGAAAAUCAUUAUUUUUCUGAAUCCCCAGUUUUGUGUUUUGUCUUUGAUUUCUGUCAUCAUAGACCAUCGCCGGUCACCGGACUAGGUCGAUUGUCACUGU